GUUUGAUCCUGGCUCAGAGCGAACGUUAGCGGCGGGGCCUAACACAUGCAAGUCGAACGGGCUGUAGCAAUACAGUCAGUGGCGCACGGGUGAGUAACGCGUAGAUAAUCUACCUUCCGGCGGGGGAUAACAUUCCGAAAGGAAUGCUAAUACCGCAUAAGACCACGGGGUCCUCGGGCCCUGAGGGAAAAGGUGGCCUCUCCUUGGAAGCCAUCACCGGAAGAUGAGUCUGCGUCCCAUCAGCUAGUUGGUAAGGUAAUGGCUUACCAAGGCGAAGACGGGUAGCUGGUCUGAGAGGAUGAAAAUCAGCCACACUGGUACUGGAACACGGACCAGACUCCUACGGGAGGCAGCAGUGGGGAAUAUUGGGCAAUGGGCGAAAGCCUGACCCAGCCACGCCGCGUGAGUGAUGAAGGCC
Molecule: ribosomal RNA, 418 nt
Filed under: uncultured bacterium
Lineage: Bacteria
Description: bacterial SSU rRNA
Rfam family: Bacterial small subunit ribosomal RNA
Source: RNAcentral